CAUAAUAAGUUUUACCUCUAAGUUCACUUUAUUUUGAUGGUCUUGACAUUAUGCUGAAUAUUAGAGGAACGUUUUACUUACACGUCAACAAACUGUAAUUCGAUUAUAAAUAUCUGCUAACACUUUAUUGUGACGAUCCUCAACAGACAUUUAACUGACUUUCCAAUUAAAUGUCAACUUACUCCACCAACACUCACCCCUACCCCUAACAGUCUGAUGUACUAAUACUCAACUAAUACUCAAAUGACAGCUUGUUGACAUGUACGUGGAGAAUUGCUCAAAUCAGACAAUCAAAAUAAAGUGUAACAGGUAGUUUCAUACAAAAAUGCAAAUGUAAACCCAAUGACCAGGCGGUAAAACAACAAUCCAGACACCUUUUGUUUCGAACUUAGCCAUGAGAGCUUAACCUGAGAGACAGGUGAUCUCUCUCCGAGUCUUCCUCCAUGUGAGAACACCCAGAACAGGUAUGUAACACACAGUAACCACGCCAGCUCUCCUCACGCACCGCUCAUUACGUUAUGUACCAUUACGUAUGAGGGCGGAAGGGAACAACUUGUUGAUAGAUUCCUAGAUCUGUUAAAUCUAAAGAAAUCGUGCAUGCUGUCAAUCCUAUUCUAUCGAACAAUCGCACACAACCGGGGUGUAGGCGGGACCUUUAAAAGCACAUGGCAAAAGAGGCUUGGUAAAGGUGUUUUUGACAUAGAAAUGGGUGUGUGUUUGUGUGUAAAAAAAUAGCAAGAGUUUAAAAAUAGUUCGACUGACAGACGCCGCACAUUACAUUUUAGAAUCUGCAUUCUUGUCUGUCGCAUUAGAACGCACAAACAGGUCUGCAUGAGACAGACAGCCUGGGAAUCACAGAAGGUUAAGCUGACGUGUGGCCGUGUGUACAAACAGGUCUGCGUGAGUUUGACAGCGCAUAAUCUUACAUGCUUUCCGCUUGCAUGUGUAGAUGGGUGUUUUUGUUGUUUCACGAGUGCAUGACUGAGGCGUUUUGAGCAUGCGCCCUAAAUAGAUUUGCAUAAGAGUAUACAAAUGUGUAUGUGCAUGUUUGUGUGCAUAUUAAGCCAUGUCUGCAGGCUGAGGUGGAGAACAACUGGCAGCAAGACUGGCACGUCUGGCAGGCCUCCACCUGUUGAAAGAUGAGGAAGCGACCUACACCCAAACAGAGAGAGAGUGAAAACAAACAAAGGGAGAAAACCAUCACGAUUCAGGCUCUAUUAUUUUCCCAUAAUGCUUUGGUGCAUUCCUCCUCCUACUCCUUCCUCAAACAGACAGCAGAGAGAAAGUGUGGAUUAAAAAAAGAAAACAGAAGAUCGAGGAUGAAUAAGAGAAGAAAUGUUGUUGUGGUGGCCCAGGUUUGCUCAGCUGUGUGGCAUUUUAGCCCCACCCAAAAACCAAAGCCUAACAGGACCUCUGAAUCUCUCUCUCUCUCUCUCUCUCUCUCUCUCUCUCUCUCUCUCUCUCUCUCUCUCACACACACACACACACACACAAACA
Non-coding RNA from Paramisgurnus dabryanus, 1497 nucleotides. NCBI's taxonomy places the organism in Eukaryota, Metazoa, Chordata, Actinopteri, Cypriniformes, Cobitidae. The record is from RefSeq and is a predicted model, not a curated record.